GAUUAAUUUGGUAAGUGCAAUAGAAUUUAUGAAUAAAGUUUAUUAUGUAGCGCGCGCGCGCGCGCACAUACAUAUAUAUAUAUAUAUAUAUAAAACUACUUUUCCUUUAAAGGUUAGGAUUCCCUAUUCCAUCUCAUAUCCACUUUUCCUUUAAAUGUUAGGAUUCCUAUUUCAUUAGCUAUUGUUUUGCAAAUAACUACUCGUUUAUUAUGUAUGGGUAGGCCUGGAACACAUACAACGCAUUUUAAUUUUUUAUUCUAAAAUUGAACCAUCAUUGGCUUACAAUAUGAGCAAUCCAACGGUGGACAGAUUUUACGCUUAUAACCGGUUACCGAACCACUAUUAACAGGCAGUUAUUAAAGCUAAUGUUCACGUAGCACCCUUACUUUUAACUGAAUUUCAAAAUAAUCAAUUCAAAUUAGAAAACUAUUAAAGAUCCCCUUUAACUUUGCAAUGAAAAAUAUGCUUAAAUUAUGUAAUUUCUAAGCUAAUGAGAAUAAUAUUUAUAUUAAAAUAAAUAAAAAAUUAAUUAUAUUAUUUUAAUCUGACAUUAUAAGUUUUUUUUAUUAAAAAAUAUUUAAAACAUUUUUUGUUAAUUGUAUAAUAUUACAAUGCAGUUCAAAUGUAGCUAAAUCAUAUUACCCCUAAAUAUUUGAAAGGGAAAAAACCCAUAAUGCCCAUUAAGGAAAUCCCUACUUGCCAAUAUCGAAAGUAAAAUAAUUUUCCAUCCAACCGUUGGAUAGUUCUCAAAUAAAUAUAUUAUUGAUAAUACCAAGCUACAUAAUUCCCAAUAAAAUAUUAUUAGUACUACCAACUAAUAUUAAAAGUACAAUUAGAUCACAUUAUAAGGACACCGUGAAACAUCUCAAUAUUAGAAUAAUAGUCACGAAUAAUCUUAUGUAAAUUAUUUCAUGCAACUUUAUGUGAAAUUAAGUAAAUUAUUCUAUAUAGCAAUACCAUAUUUAUUCCUUUGUGCUAUAUUAUUUCUACGUUUAAAUUUAUCACUAUUUUCAAGCCACAAUAAUUUCUAUAAAUAGUUGUAAUGGACAUUUAUAUAUGUAAUGUUAAUAUUUGAUCUUAAUUUAUUAGUGUUAUCAUGAUUAAUGAAAUUAUAACACAACUUUAUUAUUGACGUUAUUAAUAGCUAUCAUUGUUAGCCAUUACUAUCAUUAUUAUUAUUAUUAGAGUUAGGAGUUGCUACAGUCAAAUUCUAGUACGUAACUAGCAAUAUAAUAUUGAUAAUUAUAAAUUCACAAUAACUGAAUUUGAGUAAUAUCCAUAUUAAAGAAAAAAGAACAUUGAAUAAUAUAUUUUUUUUUCAUAUUUUACAAUCAUAUAAUCUAGACAUGAUAAUUAUAUUUUUAGAUUUAUACCAAAUUAAUUUGUGUAAUAACGCGCAACGGAGGUGGUUACAUGAAAUAUAUAUACUAAUUGAUGUGCAAUUCAUUCAUAGGCAUUAUAAAGUUCAUUCACUAUUAAUACAUAAUAAAUCAAUUGUCAUUGAAAUGUAACUGUUUAAGAAUUAGUAUUAUGAACAGAAAUUUAUUGUUAAUAAUGAAAUAAAAUAAAAUAAAAUGACUCUUUUUUCUUGGGAUAAGGAGUCAUUUUUUAUUUAGGCGGCGAAACUACCGCCAUAAUGAAAUAUUUUUCAAACCUAUUUUUUUUACUAAAAAUAUAAAUACUUCGUAUUUUUCUACUUCAAAAACCCUAGCCACUCUAUCGAUUCAUCCCUCACACUGACACAUUCAAUACGAUCACCAACCACGAGAGCAGCCACCGCCGGAUGUCGUUGUUACCAAUACCCAAUACCCAGUUCAGGUAAUCAUUCAAAUAAAAUUUCAUUUUGUUGUUCACUAUCAACUAAUUCAGAUGAAAUCCUACACCUACCAGAAGGCCUUCAAUUUGUACCCAUUAAUAUGAAGAAAAGUUUUGAUAUCAUUGCCAUAUUUAUGAUCAUUCUGGUGACUUGUACAUCUCAAGUAUCAUUUGCUUAAAUAAUACCAAUGUUUAGUUGAAAAUGCUAGUCUAUGAUGACUCUUCAGGAGAAUCUAAUGAUCUUAACAAAGCGGGGUUUAUAAUUCUUGUCGAAUGUUAUCCAGUAUAAAUAAAUGAUGUAUAACUAUUUGUUUGGUGUACAAUUAUUUGUUAUGAAUAAUGAUGUACACAUAUACAAUAUACGACUGCUUCUUUACAUUUCUUCACAGAUUCAUUACUGAACAACCAAAUUAACAGCCGCUGUCACUACAUUAACACACUCGCUUAAGUUUUUUCAGAGAAGGUAUUUUCCGAUGCUGACUCCAUAUUUCUACUGUCUGUGAUAUUGAAUGACUUUUCAUGGGGUCUGUUAAUUUUUAAUUUAAUUUUCCAUCCGUUGGAUGCGAAUCUGCUGUACCGUACAUCCGCCUUGGCCGUACAGCAGUUUUAAUAUGUUGAUGAAACAGCUUUUUUUUUUUGGCACUAAUCAAAUAGGUUAAGUAGUAGUAUUAUUAUUACACAACUCAUUCCAAUAUGAUGUUCAGUCCACUAUUAACAUAGACAUAUUCCUCGUAAAAAUUUCGUAGAAAAAUUAUUCCUAAAGAUAGCCGAUUUCAUGAGUCACAAUAAUUAUUGCUUUUCAACUCUGUUUUUUGGGUCGGCAUCAUUUUCCUUGCUCUGCUCCUCUCUUGACUCCUCAGCUUGCUUCCUUUCUUCCUCAGCUUGCUUCCUUUCUGCUUCUUCCUUCCCUUCCUUGAGAGCUUGAAUCAAGCUUGAAAGGCAUUUCUCUACAUUGUCAGAUGGAGAUUUAGGCAUCAGAUUCUCAGCAACAUCGGCAGGUGUGAUCUUGGUAUCUUCCAUCAGCUUUUGAAUUGUUUCAAACAAUGUAUGAGUUUCCACAUUCAGAUAAUUCUUCGCAAGCACUUUGAAUCCCUGGAAUGUGCAGUAAGAGAGCUCUAUAUGUUUAUCCAUCCUGCCUCUUCUAAUCAAAGCUGGAUCAAGCUUCUCCACAUAAUUGGUGGUGAAAACAAUCAGCCUCUCCCCUCCACAAGCCGACCAUAGUCCAUCAAUAAAAUUCAGUAACCCUGAUAAAGUAACUUUGCUGCUGCCCUCUUCCUUUGGUUCCUUGCGCGAAAUCUCCUUAUCCAGCUUUUCUUUCUCAUCAUCCGACGACUUCUCAGCUUUCUUCUUCCUCUGACCUGUUAGUUCAAGCGAACAAUCUAUAUCUUCAAUCACAAUAAUUGACUUACUAGUCGUCUCAAUCAAAAGCUUCCUGAGCUCUGUAUUGUCCUUAACAGCUGUGAGCUCAAGAUCAUAAACAUCAUAAUUCAACAAAUUUGCCAUGGCAGCAAUCAUAGUAGACUUGCCAGUUCCUGGAGGACCAUAAAGAAGAUACCCUCUUUUCCAAGCCUUCCCAAUCCUUGCAUAAAAAUCUCUACUUUUGCUGAAAGUAACAAGAUCUUCAAUAAUCUCCAGCUUCUUCUCUGGCUCCAACGCCAUUGUCUCAAACGUUGCAGGAUGCUCAAACACAAUGUGACUCCACAUAGUUUGCUUGUAACUUGGCCACUUGUAACCAGGACUGUUUGUGUAAAGCUUCCUCUGCCGAUUUCUCACUCUGAUUUCUUUCCCUUCCUUCACUACAUGCUGCAAAUAAGACUCAGUUAUGAUCUCCCUAUACCGCUUAUGAAAUGUGAGCCUGUAGUAUCUCUUCUCCUGCUCAGGAUAAUAUGACAUGCCCCUCGUUGUUGACACGACUUUGCUUGAAACCCACCAAACUUUUACCCCGCGGAACUCGUCAGUAACUCUCUCAUACUCAUCCAUGCUAAGCACCAAGUUGCUGCUGUCUUUGCCCAUCUCAGCCUUGAGUCUUUUAGCACUCUUGGAUGAGUUGACGCUAAGAUAAGCCUCAACAGCAGCAUAAGCCUCGCUGCGCUUGAGGCGAUCACCCGUGAAUUCAUGGAUUGAAAUCUUGAUGUAAGGAUAAAAGAACCCCAUGAUUCUGUGCGUAUACUUUUCAAAGUGGCGGCGAACUUCAUAUGGGCAAUACUGGCGAAUGAUAGCCCACACAAACAUGAAACUUGCUAUUGUCGAACCCAUUGCUGCCAACAUCUCAGUCACUGUCGCUGGCACCAUCUUUCUUUGUUUUACAGUUGCUUUUACUCAGGCCAGGCCAAGCUAAGCGAAAAGAGUAUUGUAUUUGUGAUAAAGCUUUGUGAAUUGUGCUUCUUUUAUUCUGUUUGUUAGGCCUUCGAAUCAUAACAUUGUUAGUCCCUUAAAUAAAGUGAAGAAAGAGAAAACAGAGUAGGUAAGAGUAGAGAAUUGAGUCAUUACUAAACACCGCUUUUUAUGGACACAAGUGAUAUACGGGGAAAUUACCAUUUUCUCACUAUAAAUGUUUAAAAGGCUAAAAAUAUUAUAAAACUUUUAAAUCUAUCAAUUUUUUUAAUAUUGAUUACGCAUCAAAUUACUGUACAGCGGACCAUUACAUUGAUAUUUACAAUUAGAUAUAUGAUUGAGAUUUAUAUUAUUAAAUUAAAUUUUAUAAAGUCAAUUUUUUUAAUAUUGAUUACGCAUCAUAUUAUUGUACAGCAGACCAUUACACUGAUAUUUACAAUUAGAUAUAUAACUGAUAUUUAUAUUAUUAAAUUAAAUUUUAUAAAAUACAUGUCCAGAAAAAUAACUCUCACACACGAGCGAUGUCUCUACUCCACUAGCAUUUCACAAAGAAGAAAGAUUUUUAAAUUAACUUCACACAAUUAUGCAUAAUUAAGUAUAAAGUCGGGUCGGUCUUAGACAUCACUUGAUAAAUUUGGAAUCUGAAUUUUAUUAAAAAAUAUUUAUUAUUUUAAAUAUUUAUAUUUAUUUGACUCAUUUAUUACACAUAUAUAAAAUUUAAAACACUUAAAGUUUAUAUUUUCAUGUCAAAUUUUAUUGAAAUAAAUUUAAAACUUAUAAAAUUACCAAAAAAAUAUACACAUAUAAUAUUAAAAAAUAUAAAAUUUGGGUACCCGAAUUAAAAUUUGGCUCGAUGUCGAGCUUAAAAAACCCAGCCCAGACAUUUAAAAAUUACGUCUGGGCUGGAUCCGGGCAUUGCGAUACCCAAACUCGGCCCGAAGUUUUGCCAAUCAUGAGAAUUCGAACUACUGUUCUCACAAUCAUACUUAACUGUGGAGAUAAUUGUUCACCACUCAGCCAAAACCAAAAUCAAUCAUUUUUUAAACCAUACAUAAAAUUUUUUAAAAAGUAUUAUUGUUACAGCUUCCCCAUAAAUCUGUCAGAGAAUCUAUGUCAAAAGAUUAUUUUACGCUACGAAUUUAAUUUAACAUUAUGAUGCAAGGUAUUCUUAAAUAAUGAAUUAAAUAAGGCAAAUAGUGUGAAUUUUGUUUCGAAUGUCUGAACAAAAGUGAUGCAAACAUUUUGCGAAAUGUGCAUCAAGGAUCUGUUUAAAUUCUAUUAUUUGAUUAUGAAUGGAAUAGAAUUCAGUUGGUGCGUCUACGUGGACCGCGAUAGAAAAAGACAAAUGAUGCAGUCGGCGAGUCCACACCAUGUGCUGUAAAUAAAAACAAGUCACAUUUUGAUCCGCUUAAUGACAAAGAAAGAAGGCAAAGUUAAGUGAAAAGUGGGACUUGGUUGACGUUGACGCUGAUUUUCAAAAUAAAGUGAACGAAUCUUGGAGGGGAUUGAUCUAAUCAUCUAUGCUUUGAUCUUGCUUGCUCAGAAAUUUCCAAGUCAUUCCCCAUCAAAUUUGUGGGGUUGAAAAGAUUGGGGAUUUGCUUGGGAAGAAUCACUCCCAAGAGACUGCACUCUGCACUCGUCUUUCAGCCUGCUGUCUAUCUGCAUGUAGCAUCAUCGGGGACGAAAGUAGGAAACUUCUGGGAAAUUUUUGAAACGUUUUGCAAUGAUAAUGAAAGCUGUGAAGUCAUCUCAUGACAAUAAGCAUGACGACACUCACUGCUUCGAACCUUAUUAUCAAAGUCAACAAAUGGGUGUGUAUGGGAGCUGGCUAAAGCUGGAACUGUAAGUUACAGAAUCCGUAACUUGCCAGCUCCCCGUUUCUAAUCUAUUAUUCAACAACUAUAAUAAAUUUAUAACACGUCCUUUCAAGAUUUGUAAAGCCGUAGCCACUAGCCAGCCAUAUCAUUUGUUCAACCUUAAAUCAUUGGAGCCUGUCGAGUGUCGAAAAUUCUAGAAAAUAAGAACGCAAAUAUCAAGGAGAAUAAUGGUUUUGUUCUGAUGUUUUUGUUUUUAAAUUUUUAGUAGAAUGAGAUACGUAUAACCAAAAAAACUUGGAGAUUGUUUGGACUCUGGCGAGUGGUGACCCGACCCAGAAAGUAGGUGUCAGCAAAUAUGUGGCCACUCAGUGUAAAGCAUUGUUAUUAUCAUUAUUAUUAAAGGACACCAGUAGUGGAAUAGACGAGUUAGUCAUGUUUUGGACUUCACUUUUUUGAUCAAUGGUUGAAAGGAGACAACCGCUCGAGUCAAAUCAACUCACGUGGGUUAGUCCUAUGAGCAUAAACUUUGGGGCAAGUACAAGUAACAUUGCAAAAAUUAUUGUUCUUUUUUCUUUUGUUUUGGAUUGUUUAUUUUUUUGGUACGGAGACAAAUAUUGCUAUUAUUAUUAUUCACCAAAACAAUAAUACCCCGCGUGACAAUGAUAUUACUCUUAUGACACUAAACUUGGGUAUUCAUUCAUUUGUCAUCUUUACCAUUUGCGCAAUAUGCCAAGUUUUAUAAUAAAUAAUUAUAAACUUGUAAAGAUCGCCCGCCGUCCAUUCAUGAAUAUUAUUUAAUGCACGCAGCCUAAAUGGAUUAGGCACUCACUCUUAAUAUCUUUUUGUUUUUGGAACAUGCACUUGUAAUACAUGGAUUCCUCCUCAUUCCUCAACCAAAAAGGCAAAUAAAGUAAGUUGGUAGUGUGACACAUGUUUUCAUUUAUUAAUUAUUUAAGGUCUUGGUGGUUGGUAGUAAAGAACAAAAACUUAUUAUCAAAAGUGCAGGUUUUAUAAUAGAUAAGGAUCCGUUUAAUAUUAGUUGAAAUAAUUUAAAUCUGUCUAAGCUGAAAAUAGUGUAUAUCAUUCUAAAGAAUGGAUAAGGUUGAUUUAGAUUAGUUAGAUGUUUUUUGAAUUAGCUUCUUAGGUGAGUUAGUUAGCCAAGGAAAGCUAAACGACUCCAGUUCAGUUGUGCGGAUGGUGUGGAGCUCCUUCAAAGCAACUGAGACAAAGGUAGUUUUUGAACAGCUGUGGUUGUUCCAGUGCAUAAACUAAGCUGUUGUUAGUGCUAAUUGCUGUGAUGAAGUGAAAGCCUAUUGUAUUCACAUGAGCUUUUAGAAAAAGAAAGGUGCAUUGAGCUCUACGAAGAACGCGGCAUCGGCGUUCAUGGAUACGCUACGUUCGAUCAUAACCAUCACCUUUUGCAUUUUCAGAGCUUUAGAUUCUUGAUAUCUUCCUCAUUGGCAAACCAGUCUGGUAUUAUCCGUGCCAAAUGAGGGAAAAGAUCUUUGUAGACAUUCUUGAUGGUCCCUUCUGCUACUCUCGUAACAAUGGAGAUCUCUGCAAAAACAGGGGCAUGAAUGGCAUCUGAGUAAGCAUAAUUUCUAAAAGAAUUGAUAGCUUUCUAACCUUUGAGAGGCUUUGUGUCAUUUGAUAGCUGAGUUAUGAUGUAAAUAACAGCUGCCGCCACUGAGAUCGGGCUUCUCCUGUGAAAGCAAGCAAGAAUUUUGUUUUACCCAAAGCCAAUGACACCAUCUACAUACACUAUUCAUUUAUGAUUAAUUUUCUAAUGGAGUUGUUAAAAAAUUUCACAGAGAGAGAGGGAGAGACUGCUGUACCGUACAUCCCCCUUGGCCGUACAGCAGUGUGAAUUUUGUUUCGAAUGUCUGAACAAAAGUGAUGCAAACAUUUUGCGAAAUGUGCAUCAAGGAUCUGUUUAAAUUCUAUUAUUUGAUUAUGAAUGGAAUAGAAUUCAGUUGGUGCGUCUACGUGGACCGCGAUAGAAAAAGACAAAUGAUGCAGUCGGCGAGUCCACACCAUGUGCUGUAAAUAAAAACAAGUCACAUUUUGAUCCGCUUAAUGACAAAGAAAGAAGGCAAAGUUAAGUGAAAAGUGGGACUUGGUUGACGUUGACGCUGAUUUUCAAAAUAAAGUGAACGAAUCUUGGAGGGGAUUGAUCUAAUCAUCUAUGCUUUGAUCUUGCUUGCUCAGAAAUUUCCAAGUCAUUCCCCAUCAAAUUUGUGGGGUUGAAAAGAUUGGGGAUUUGCUUGGGAAGAAUCACUCCCAAGAGACUGCACUCUGCACUCGUCUUUCAGCCUGCUGUCUAUCUGCAUGUAGCAUCAUCGGGGACGAAAGUAGGAAACUUCUGGGAAAUUUUUGAAACGUUUUGCAAUGAUAAUGAAAGCUGUGAAGUCAUCUCAUGACAAUAAGCAUGACGACACUCACUGCUUCGAACCUUAUUAUCAAAGUCAACAAAUGGGUGUGUAUGGGAGCUGGCUAAAGCUGGAACUGUAAGUUACAGAAUCCGUAACUUGCCAGCUCCCCGUUUCUAAUCUAUUAUUCAACAACUAUAAUAAAUUUAUAACACGUCCUUUCAAGAUUUGUAAAGCCGUAGCCACUAGCCAGCCAUAUCAUUUGUUCAACCUUAAAUCAUUGGAGCCUGUCGAGUGUCGAAAAUUCUAGAAAAUAAGAACGCAAAUAUCAAGGAGAAUAAUGGUUUUGUUCUGAUGUUUUUGUUUUUAAAUUUUUAGUAGAAUGAGAUACGUAUAACCAAAAAAACUUGGAGAUUGUUUGGACUCUGGCGAGUGGUGACCCGACCCAGAAAGUAGGUGUCAGCAAAUAUGUGGCCACUCAGUGUAAAGCAUUGUUAUUAUCAUUAUUAUUAAAGGACACCAGUAGUGGAAUAGACGAGUUAGUCAUGUUUUGGACUUCACUUUUUUGAUCAAUGGUUGAAAGGAGACAACCGCUCGAGUCAAAUCAACUCACGUGGGUUAGUCCUAUGAGCAUAAACUUUGGGGCAAGUACAAGUAACAUUGCAAAAAUUAUUGUUCUUUUUUCUUUUGUUUUGGAUUGUUUAUUUUUUUGGUACGGAGACAAAUAUUGCUAUUAUUAUUAUUCACCAAAACAAUAAUACCCCGCGUGACAAUGAUAUUACUCUUAUGACACUAAACUUGGGUAUUCAUUCAUUUGUCAUCUUUACCAUUUGCGCAAUAUGCCAAGUUUUAUAAUAAAUAAUUAUAAACUUGUAAAGAUCGCCCGCCGUCCAUUCAUGAAUAUUAUUUAAUGCACGCAGCCUAAAUGGAUUAGGCACUCACUCUUAAUAUCUUUUUGUUUUUGGAACAUGCACUUGUAAUACAUGGAUUCCUCCUCAUUCCUCAACCAAAAAGGCAAAUAAAGUAAGUUGGUAGUGUGACACAUGUUUUCAUUUAUUAAUUAUUUAAGGUCUUGGUGGUUGGUAGUAAAGAACAAAAACUUAUUAUCAAAAGUGCAGGUUUUAUAAUAGAUAAGGAUCCGUUUAAUAUUAGUUGAAAUAAUUUAAAUCUGUCUAAGCUGAAAAUAGUGUAUAUCAUUCUAAAGAAUGGAUAAGGUUGAUUUAGAUUAGUUAGAUGUUUUUUGAAUUAGCUUCUUAGGUGAGUUAGUUAGCCAAGGAAAGCUAAACGACUCCAGUUCAGUUGUGCGGAUGGUGUGGAGCUCCUUCAAAGCAACUGAGACAAAGGUAGUUUUUGAACAGCUGUGGUUGUUCCAGUGCAUAAACUAAGCUGUUGUUAGUGCUAAUUGCUGUGAUGAAGUGAAAGCCUAUUGUAUUCACAUGAGCUUUUAGAAAAAGAAAGGUGCAUUGAGCUCUACGAAGAACGCGGCAUCGGCGUUCAUGGAUACGCUACGUUCGAUCAUAACCAUCACCUUUUGCAUUUUCAGAGCUUUAGAUUCUUGAUAUCUUCCUCAUUGGCAAACCAGUCUGGUAUUAUCCGUGCCAAAUGAGGGAAAAGAUCUUUGUAGACAUUCUUGAUGGUCCCUUCUGC
This 9982-nucleotide long non-coding RNA is filed under the name Citrus sinensis (sweet orange). RNAcentral's name for it is "long non-coding RNA (CSIN_LNC001897)". Lineage: Eukaryota; Viridiplantae; Streptophyta; Magnoliopsida; Sapindales; Rutaceae. The record is from RNAcentral.